Molecule: transfer RNA, 65 nt
Filed under: Glyptotermes sp. C TB-2014
Lineage: Eukaryota; Metazoa; Arthropoda; Insecta; Blattodea; Kalotermitidae
Description: tRNA-Leu
Source: RNAcentral
ACUAAUUUGGCAGAUAAGUGCGGUGGAUUUAGAAUCUAUUUAUGUGGUUAAGUACACAUUUAGUA